UCUCUGGAGGUGGUCACUCAAGUAAACUGCUUAGACACCAUGGAAUGUAGUUCCAUCAUCCUGACACCUAGCAUGCUCUUCAUUCACAACGGGUUUGAUAUCUGCUAUGAAAUGCCUAUGAGUA
Non-coding RNA from Lonchura striata (white-rumped munia), 124 nucleotides. The record is from RefSeq and is a predicted model, not a curated record. Lineage: Eukaryota; Metazoa; Chordata; Aves; Passeriformes; Estrildidae.